RNAcentral lists this small RNA (121 nucleotides) under Marmota monax (woodchuck). The record is from RNAcentral. Lineage: Eukaryota; Metazoa; Chordata; Mammalia; Rodentia; Sciuridae.
GCCAGGCAUGGUGGCACAUGCCUGUAAUCCCAAUGGCUCAGGAGGCUGAGAGAGGAGGAUUGUGAGUUCAUAGCUUCAGCAAAAGCAAGGCUCUAAACAACUCAGUGAGACCCUGUCUCUA